UCCGGUUUAACACCGGCAGUCCCGCUAGAGUGCCCAGCAUAACCUGGUAGCAACUAGAGGCAGGGGUUUCGCUCGUUAGAGGACUUAACCCGACACUUCACAGCACGAGCUGACGACAGCCAUGCAGCACCUGUGCACGUUCCACCCAGAGGGUGUGGCUUCCUUUUCGGGAAGUUAAUCCGUGCAUGUCAAGCCUUGGAUAAGGUUCUUCGCGUUGCUUCGAAUUGAGCCACAUGCUCCACCGCUUGUGUGAGCCCCCGUCAAUUCCUUUGAGUUUUAGCCUUGCGACCGUACUCCCCAGGCGGUGCACUAAUUAGUUUUCCUUCGACCCCGAUAAUGUCAGAAUUUCCGGGGUCUAGUGCACAUCGUUUACAGCUAGGACUAC
RNAcentral lists this unclassified non-coding RNA (385 nucleotides) under uncultured Phycisphaeraceae bacterium. RNAcentral's name for it is "contains 16S-23S intergenic spacer region". Lineage: Bacteria; Pseudomonadati; Planctomycetota; Phycisphaerae; Phycisphaerales; Phycisphaeraceae. The record is from RNAcentral.